GUAGGUGAACCUGCGGAGGGAUCAUUACCGAGUGAGGGCCGCCCGCCCGACCUCCCACCCCCUGUGACCCGACCCCGUUGCCUCCGGGGCGACCCGGCCUUUGGGCCGCAGGCCCCCGGUGGACCCCCCCACCCUGCAUCCCGCCGUCCGAGUGCCCCUUGAAUUGGUGAAAACUUUCAACAACGGAUCUCUUGGUUCUG
RNAcentral lists this unclassified non-coding RNA (200 nucleotides) under rhizosphere metagenome. RNAcentral's name for it is "partial ribosomal RNA internal transcribed spacer region". The record is from RNAcentral.